This is an RNA transcript of Eucalyptus grandis, 3605 nucleotides long. It is a transcript of the gene named disease resistance protein RPV1-like, with no coding region annotated. The transcript has 4 exons. NCBI's taxonomy places the organism in Eukaryota, Viridiplantae, Streptophyta, Magnoliopsida, Myrtales, Myrtaceae. The record is from RefSeq and is a predicted model, not a curated record.
CUCCAACCACAGCCGCCGACCUCCGCUCCUCUGCGGCCGUUGCCACCAGCGGAGUCGCCGGCGCCGUGAACAGGCCGACCACCACCGCGUUCAAGCCGAGCCUGUUUUCUCCGUCUCGUCGUUCUCCAGGUCUCGAAUCUGGCCGUCCCAUGGACGAAAUCGUCUGCGCUGGUCCAUCCAUGGUCGACCGCGUUCAGGCAUCCAUGGCCGUCGGGAUAUGUGAGCUCCGUCCAUGGCCCGACGGCCAUGGACGCCUAGUUCCUCCGCUUUUCUUCUUGAUAUGUGAGCUCUGUCCACGGCCGUCGGGAUCUCGACCUUGCCCAUCACGGCCAUGGACGAGCAGUCAUGGCCAAAUCUGAAGGCGGCUUCAGAUCCCAUCCACUAUUGAAGAAAGCACGACUUCAGUUCAAAUCUGAAGCAGAGGGAGCGGAAGCCAUGCUUUCUUUCUGAGCAUGACCCAAUCAGUCCAGAUCUGAAGCCCUGCUGACGACCGAGCGCCGUUCAUGGCCGUCUGGACCUCGAGCUUGCCGUCAAGGCUCACGGCCAUGGACAAGCCUUGCAAGCCAUGGACGAGCUAGGCUUGCGGAUCUGGAUGGAGGCACGACUCCAGUCCAGAUCUGAACGAGCAAAGGACUGAGCCGACCGCGAGCAUGACGAAGGGGUGGCUUGGGUCGACUGCACGUGACGCCGAAAGCAGUGGCGAUGCUGGCCGAACGGGGCGGUGCUCUAUGACGGAGGAGGAAGCGCCGGCGGCCAUGGAGGACAACCAGUUCGGCAGAGAAAGGAGGAAGAAGAAAAUAAUAAUUUUUUUUUAUUCCACCUCAGCUUACACUUUUCGAUUUAUUAUUGCGCAUAAGUAAAAAAAAGCAUGCCACGUCAAUUGCUGACGUGGCGGUUGGCAACUGAUGGAGCACAGGAGAAACUGUCAGAGGAGCGUUUUGACUCGGUUUGCAUACUUCACUGUCUAUCCUCUGUUUCACGGAAAUUCACCUUCAUCCUCUCCGCGUUCUUGGUAUUUCCUUCAUAUAGAGAGCGAUCCAGAGCCCAAAUGGGACUUGUUGGUGAUUGCAGCUCUGAGCAGGAUCGGCCGCAAAUGGGACUGAUUGCAGCCGUUGUAAUCAAUAUCAUCUUGGCCUCGAUGCUGUGCGUUCCGGUCCUGGGACAACUGACGAGAGUGAAGAAAAGCCGGAGGAGCUCAGAGGCAACGCUGAGCGUGGAAGAUGUACUGCCAGGAUACGAGUACGAGGUUUUCUUGAGUUUCAGGGGAUUAGACACACGCAACAACUUCACUGAUUGCCUUUACCGUAGAUUGAGACUCGCUGGAGUCCAUGUCUUCCGAGACAACGAAGAACUCCGAGUCGGAAAAGAAAUCGGUGGUGAGCUUUUGAAAGCGCUCAACAAUUCUCGGAUCUACAUACCCAUCUUCUCCCAGAACUAUGCUACCAGUUCGUGGUGUCUCCGUGAGGUUGCGCACAUGGUCGAAUGCACCUCAAAAUCAAAUGGGAAGAAAGAGAUACUCCCCAUCUUCUAUGACGUGUCCCUUGAUGAUGUUAAGCUCAAAACCAAGUUAUACCAAAAAGCCAUACUGAGGCAGAAGAAAAAAUUCGGCUCCGAUGCAUUGAAAUGGUGGGAGGAGGCUCUUGUAGAGGUUGCACAUUUAAAGGGGUGGAAUCUUAAAGGGAAAGGCCAUGGAGAACUAAUUGAAUUGGUUGUUGGAGAGGUAUUGUGCAAGCUUAAUGCCAGAAAUGUGGAUGUGCCUGAAUAUUGGGUUGAAGAUCAUCGUCAAAUAGAAGACAUACUAGAAAAGUUGGAAGUUGACUCUGACGAUGUACGUUUUCUUGGUAUUCAUGGAAUAGGUGGCAUUGGUAAAACAGUACUUGCAAAGGUUGUGUUCAACAAAAUAUCUUCUCACUUUGAAGGUGUUUGUUUCCUCAACGACGUUCGAGAAUCAUCGCGACAUGGUCUUAUAAACGUGCAGAAAAAGUUAUUAGCAAGUUUUGUGGGUCUUGUGAUUGAUGAUCUUAUCAAAGACAUUGGAGAUGGGAUGAAAUGGAUCAAGACAGUAUGUCAUACUAAAAAAGUCCUCAUUGUUCUAGAUGAUUUAGAUAAGCAAGAGCAACUCAAAAAGCUAGCUGGAAAAUCAGAUUGGUUUGGUUUAGGCAAUAGGAUCAUCUUCACCACUAGGAACUUAGAGGUGUUGAUGACUCAAGUGGAACCAUCCGGUGAAGAGGUCCUAAAUCAACCCAAAGGAAUUUUGGCUUAUGAAGCUCAUGCAAUGGAAUACGGUCGAGCACUUCAAUUGUUUUGUAAGCACGCAUUCAGGAGAGACUCUCCCUAGAAGGAUAUGAUAAUCUUACAGAGAAAAUUGUUUGUAGAGUGGGUAUGCUUCCUUUGGCAGUUGAGGUCAUAGGUUCAUUUCUUUAUGGCCAAAGCUUUGCCUUAGGGCAACAUUUUGAUAAACGAAAGCUAUGGGAAGGUAUGUUGAAGCAGUUAGAUGAUGGUCCUUUUAAGGAUGUUCGAGAUGCAUUAAUGAUAAGUUAUGAAGGAUUAGAGAAUAAGCAAAAAGAAGUGUUUCUUGAUAUUGCUUGUCUUUUCACCAACAAGGACCAAACAUAUCCAGUUAUCAUGUGGGAUGACUAUAAUUACCAUCCUCACCUUGCAAUUGGAGUCCUUUGCCAACGGUCCUUAAUAAAAAUUGGACAUGACAAUAAGUUUUGGAUGCAUGACCAAGUUCGAGAUCUGGGAAGGCACAUCAUGCAUGAAGAAUAUCCUCGCAAAUUUAGUAGGGUGUGGAUUUAUAACGAUGCUAUAGAACUACUGGAGAGAAAAGAGACAAAUCAAGAUGUAGAAGUACUAAGCUUGACUUCCGAUGGCUGCAGCCGGGAUAUUGUACCAGAAGAAUUAGCUGCUCUACCAAAUCUAAGGUUCCUUCAAGUUAAAGGCAUCAAAUUUAUUGGCAACUUCGAGAAUCUUGUUUUGAAGAAGCUAUGUUGGCUUUCUUGGGAAGUGAUGCAUAAUAAAUUUUGUGCAGAGAAUAUUCAUUUUGUUAGCUUAGUUGUGCUAGACCUUUCAAGGAGCAAUAUCAAAGAUGAUUGGGAUGGAUGGCGCCAAUUCCAGGUAUGCCUUUUUCUAUUCAUCGUACUGAGAGACCAAGAAGAGCAUUGUAUGGAUAGAGAAUCCACGUCUUCUUUUUAUAUUCACCGAUCAUUCAUGUAUUGUAUAUAUUGGUGUCACGCUUUCCUGAUCCCACAUGAAUUUAUGGACAGAAAUUAUUUCGCGAGAGUAACAUCUAGCAUUGACAACAACCGCCUAAAUGCAUUUAAGAAAAGAGAGAGGAAGCUAUAGAAUCACAUCAUUUUGAUAAAAAUUGCAUGCCUUAUUGUAUGACUUCCAAAUUAUCUUGACUGAGUAAAUCCAUUUGUUGAUAGAUUUCUACUUGAAUGUUCCCAUUUCGAACUUCUAUUUCUUCUGCUUUCUCUUUUUCCACUCUUUUUCUACAUACAUUUCAGCGAUCGUACUCAUGAUCUGAUUCAAUCUUUUACUAUUUCUUCUUCAUCAAAUUGUGCUAUGUGCAAUUACUGCAAGAUUUUGCUGAAUUAUUAAAA